CUAUAAAGGGAUGACGCAAGGAGUUCCUUUGUGCUGAUGGAACAGUUCUAUAUGAUUAUGAUGAUUACGAUGUUGAUUAUAACAUUUGACUUUAUGUUGGCCAGCACAGGAUGUGAUUGUGCGCAACUUAAUCAAUGUUCCUGAAAUAGAUACAAGGUGAACGAUAGAAUUAAGUAUACAUUCAUAAUGACAAUCAUUAAGGAACUUUUUGUGUGUACAGAAACUAAUUUUAGAAUUUGGCACAUUUGUUUGACAGCGUUUCAUUAAACAUGUUUCAUGUCAGAGCUCUUUGUUCACUUUACACAAUUUCCUGGAUAAAAGUGUCAUAGAAGGUAAGAUGAUUCUUUGAUGGAAAUAUUUCCAUAUGCCAAAGAGGGAAAAGUUCUGAAAAUUGUGCCUAGUUAAAAAAGUGUCUAAAUUAUGAAGGCUGCGAUGUGCUAUACAUUUUAAGAAUGUAAAUAAUCCCCAAAUUCAUUGAUACAACGUAUAUUUGGAGCUUACUAAGAAUAACAGAAUAUGCCAUAUGCUAGAGACAGAAAAGUUAAUGAGACC
This 552-nucleotide long non-coding RNA is filed under the name Homo sapiens (human). RNAcentral's name for it is "non-protein coding lnc-BRCC3-2:2". Lineage: Eukaryota; Metazoa; Chordata; Mammalia; Primates; Hominidae. The record is from RNAcentral.